Molecule: ribosomal RNA, 468 nt
Filed under: uncultured bacterium
Lineage: Bacteria
Description: partial 16S ribosomal RNA
Rfam family: Bacterial small subunit ribosomal RNA
Source: RNAcentral
GACGAACGCUGGCGGCGUGCUUAACACAUGCAAGUCGAACGGAAAGGCCCUGCUUUUGUGGGGUGCUCGAGUGGCGAACGGGUGAGUAACACGUGAGUAACCUGCCCUUGACUUUGGGAUAACUUCAGGAAACUGGGGCUAAUACCGGAUAGGAGCUCCUGCUGCAUGGUGGGGGUUGGAAAGUUUCGGCGGUUGGGGAUGGACUCGCGGCUUAUGAGCUUGUUGGUGGGGUAGUGGCUUACCAAGGCUUUGACGGGUAGCCGGCCUGGGAGGGUGACCGGCCACAUUGGGACUGAGAUACGGCCCAGACGCCUACGGGAGGCAGCAGUGGGGAAUAUUGCACAAUGGGCCGACGCCUGAUGCAGCAACGCCGCGUGCGGGAUGACGGCCUUCGGGUUGUAAACCGCUUUCGCCUGUGACGAAGCGUGAGUGACGGUAAUGGGUAAAGAAGCACCGGCUAACUACGUG